GUAUCUGAUUGAAUUUGCUGCCAAUCUUCUCGCAAUCUGCUAGCAUUUUGCUAUUAGGGAGAUUAUCUAAGUAAACUCGUACUCUUCUGUGCUCGUGCCUCGUGCCUCGUCCCUCGUCGCUCAUCCCUCGAGUAUCUCGUGAAUAGUGAUAAAGCCUAAAGAUGAAGAAUUAUUCAAUAGUAGAAUUUGUCAAAGAGAGCACAGUAGAAAUAAUUCCUUCCUCUUGGAUUCUACCUAAUAAUAAAACUGCAUUAUGGCCUGAAGGCAUAAACCGAUCAGUUUUAAAAAAACAUUUAAAGAAUUUAAUUAAACCCAUUGGCGAUUGGUCCAUUGUGGAAAUAAGAAUUUUGGGACAUGCAGACACUCUCGUUAACGCUGAAAAAAAGCGCAAAAAGCCGAAGAUACGUCUUACUUAAGUAGUGAUUCCGAUCCGGAAACAUUUCUUCCAUCAAAACGAGCAAAGAAAAAACCUUCUAGAUUUGAGGAUAUUUCUUCUGACGAAGAAGACACACAAGAGCCAAUCACGCAAUUAAAAGGACGAUAUCAAAAUAAAACUAUUAACUCAGAACAUUCGUUUAAACGUCCCGUCGUUCCAGCUUUUCCUGAUUUUCAAGAUUCUACCGUAAUAGAAAAAGUUAGACAAGGAAAUAUACAAACAGAUUGUCAGAAUAAAGAAAGUUUUGUACAUAACAAUAAAAGAGCAGAAAAUAUUGUAAGAACUAAAGAAACAGUUACAGGGUCACAAUUUCUGAAAUACAUUAAAGAAGGAAUUUUAAGUAAGAUUUUUACAUUGAUUGAAGAAAUAAAAUAUGAUAUGAACACGUUCAAAACAAAUCAGCAAGAAAUUAAAGCAGGAAUCGAUGCUUUAUUAACAGCAAAUGACAAAAUAAACAUAAAUAAGUUCAGUCGGCUACUUCCAGUUACUUCUAUAGAAUCAUUCAACGAAAUUGACAACUCUGUGACAAACUCUGAAGAGGACUUUUUAUCUCUUUUAAGAAUAACAAAAUAAAAUAUCUUAAUCUCGCGUCUGGUGAAACAGUAAAUAAACUCAUACCAUCAAUAAUGAAAAUGAUCAUGAAAAAAAGCCGUGUCCAUACAAUUUAGUGGUUGUGGUAAACAAAAGAAACGUGAUUUUUCUGCAACGAAAAUUGCUGCUGCAGUACUUGAAGUGGUAUCAAAAAAAUUGCCUAAUGCAACAAGAAAAGAGAUAUUUAAUAAAAUAUCUAAAUUUCUUGCUGAAAGUGGAGAUAGAGAGAGAGGAAGAAGAGAACGAUCUCUUGCUGUAAGCAAAGAUAAGGAUGGAAGAAGAAAAGAAAGAUCGCUUAAUGAAAGUGAAGAUAGCGAAAAUAGAAGAGAGAGAUCGCAUACUGAAGAAGAA
This 1378-nucleotide unclassified non-coding RNA is filed under the name Monomorium pharaonis (pharaoh ant). RNAcentral's name for it is "uncharacterized LOC105832566, transcript variant X3". Lineage: Eukaryota; Metazoa; Arthropoda; Insecta; Hymenoptera; Formicidae. The record is from RNAcentral.